GCCGAAUUAAAACAUGAUGAUUAUAAAAUUAAAUCUGAUUUAUUUGAAAAAAAAGUUAAAAUUAUGUACAAAUAAAUGGGAGGAUGAAAGUAAAUUAUAUAACACAUAUAUACAAGAGUUGUAUAACCAACUUCUGAGAGGAUAAGCUACCGGGGUUUUUAGACGUCGAAGUACUUGGGAUCCGAUGGAUAAUCAUAUUCUACAUGUAGCUGCAAUGUGGAAAAAAAAAGGAUGUUUCAUUUGUCAGGAUGGCAGACAAAAUAAGUAAUUAAUGGAUGCCUUCAACCAUAUUUAUUGAGGUUUAAUAUUCUGAUAUUUUCUUGAAUGGGGCACAAUAGUUGAUGCCUCAACAGAAACUGCAUCUUAAAUUCUACAAAUAAAUGAAAAUGACUUUCCCUAUGUAGGUCAGGCAUUUUUCAAGACCCAGAAACAUAGACCACCUAAGUCCAGAAGAAGUCUUCCUUCUUCAUUUUCUUUUUUUUUUAUUUUUUAGGAAUUGCAGAAAUCUUCCCUUUUUUUUUCCGAUAAAUUUCCAGAAAUCUUCCUUACUAUAGGGAUAACAUCAGAAUAAAUAGCACCACCACCAACAACAAGGUCUAAAUGCCAAACAAGCGGUUAUAUGGAUUAUUUUUUAUCAUUGAGCUUUGUUCGUCAUUGAUAGAUCUAUCAGCCAGAAAAUAAGCAUCAUUCAAGACAAACAUAAUGAAAACAUCAAUGAAGAAACCAUCCAUUGAAAUUCUCUCUCUCUCUCUUUUUUUUCCGGUUCAUUAUAUGAACAUGAUAACAAAACUGUAACUCAUGCAGAUGCCAGAUGCCUAGGAAUGCUCAGCCAGAAAAUAAGAAUCAUUCAAGAAAACAAUAAGCAGAUUGAAGCAUGCAUUUCUCAAGCAUAAGUUAUAACGGAGAUACAAAACUUACCUUGCCCUCAUCAGCAUCUGA
RNAcentral lists this unclassified non-coding RNA (939 nucleotides) under Hevea brasiliensis (rubber tree). Lineage: Eukaryota; Viridiplantae; Streptophyta; Magnoliopsida; Malpighiales; Euphorbiaceae. The record is from RNAcentral.